CAUUGACAAAGGUCAGUGUGGUUAGACUAGUCCCCAAAGGCAUUUGGGUUUGAGACCCCUGAUUGAGACCAGUCCACUUGGCCUUGCCUUUAACCUUUCCUCAGGAGCCAGGAUUUUUGUCUGCACUAAUGCCACCCCCUGGAAGUCUGCACAUUUCUUGGUAAGCCUGCCCAGCUUUCCCACCCCAGAAGUCAUCACCUGAAAGCCACCCAGCCCAGUCCAUGCCUGGAACAAGCUCCCUCUGCUUGGAACUCAGGAGCUCCAUAAACAUCCACAGAGGGAGGAAAGAGGUGCCUUGAACCGUCCGAGGGCUGCCGCAUGUA
Molecule: long non-coding RNA, 323 nt
Organism: Lontra canadensis (Northern American river otter)
Lineage: Eukaryota; Metazoa; Chordata; Mammalia; Carnivora; Mustelidae
Exons: 3
Source: RefSeq, a predicted model, not a curated record